UGUGCGUUUGAUCUAAGGUAAUCAUUUUCACCAAAAAAUAUACAGUCCGUUUGGAGGAGUAAAAUAAUUUCUGUCUGCGUAAAGUAAAAACCUAGUAACUAUAUUAGAGACGAUAUUUUUGCUAAUCAUUAUUAAUUGCUAUUAUUGAAAACAAGUAAUAAAAUAUUUUUUUGGUCUAUCAUAUUUUCCAUUGGCUAAAGUAUAAAAGAUGUAUUUACUGAGU
Non-coding RNA from Cinara cedri, 223 nucleotides. The record is from the annotation of a GenBank genome assembly. NCBI's taxonomy places the organism in Eukaryota, Metazoa, Arthropoda, Insecta, Hemiptera, Aphididae.